Molecule: long non-coding RNA, 501 nt
Organism: Quercus lobata
Lineage: Eukaryota; Viridiplantae; Streptophyta; Magnoliopsida; Fagales; Fagaceae
Exons: 3
Source: RefSeq, a predicted model, not a curated record
CCCAGUCACUCUCUUUCAGUCACCCACCCACUCACUCUCCCUCAUCAGUCAAACGCCUCACUUACCCUCUCAGCAAACCGACACUCUCACUCACCCUCUCCUCCUCUCACUCUCUCAGCGUCACCGUCGCCGACGACGGCCCCAACCCACUCACCCUCUCAGCCUCACCGACCCAGUCUCAGUCACUCUCUCGCUCACCUACGCGGUAUCUGAAGCAAAUAGAAGAACAAAAGUAUGGCUGCUGCAAAUGCUGGACAGAUUAACCAUGCGCAGCCUGGCCCCAUUGACACGUCAGUGUUGACGUUGCAGCCCAACCAUCGAUCAGAAGCCAUUUGGAAUGGGCAGGAUCCAGGGUCCCUUAAAUGUCGUGCCCGUAGUGAAGAGUUCUCGAAUCGAGAGCCAAUGGUGGACGAUCGAGUCAUUGACAUCAUUAAGGCACUUGGUUUGGAGGGACUUCUCAGGACUCCGGGUAGAGAGAUUGAUCAUGGCCUGAUAACGGCC